UGCACACCGAAGCACUGAGACAGGCAGCAGUGGAGCUGAGGCUGUUGGUGUCGCUUCCGGUCUCUUCCUCUUUACUUUUUUUUUGGUUUCUGUCAAGAUGGCUCUACCGCCAGCAUUGAUCACAACAGAGUCGACAGCGGGAAGGGUGCUUGGAGCGGCGCAUGCACCACCGUUGAAAUCGCUGAAUAGAAAAAUGACCGCGCACCGCUCAUCGCUGCUUCCGCGCCUCUCGGUCACGACUGCCUCCUCUCUGCGUCCUGCGCGAGUGAAGUCGACCACCGCUGCUGCUGCUACCACCGCACCCACCACGGUAGCCACGGUGGCGUCAGUGUCUCGGUCAGCAGACGCUGCUACAACGCACCCACUUCUCAGGCAACUGCUCCGCGUCUCUGUGCCUCCUGCGUCGGUAGAGCUGGCACAGCCACCGGAAGAAGUGACGUUAGCGGAAGCGGUGGAGGCGCUAGGAGGAUCGGACGCCGUAGAGGCGCUCCUUUCUCAGCUCAACGGUGUGGCGCACUCAGCCGAUGCGAACGAUGACGGUGCCUUCGCGAACGCCAUCGAGACAUGUGUUCAGCAAGCUCUUGGUGUCUCUGAAGUGUCGAUCGACGUCAUUGAAGAGCUCGAGACCGCCGUCACGGGCGAGGAGGGAGGAGAGAGUGGCACGCGAGCAAGUCCGCCCGUGAGCGUGACGAUUCCGCUUACCAUCUCGGACUUCCAUGCUGCAACCGUUACUCCGUUAGCCGCCCGCCAGCGUCGAAGUCGGGUAAGCAACGCAACGGCUGCAUCUGCCCCCAGACGCAACUACUCCUCGUGUCUGCUGCUUCGCGUCCAGCGUUGUAGAGGCGUCCUCGCGCUGCGCAUUGUGAAGGUGCGCUUUGAAGGCACCGGCGGCACGUCGCACCGCAGCCGCCGCGGUGUCGCGUUGGGCGCCGAAGGCCAAAAGAAAAGGCGUAAAGUCAGAGAGACGAAGCAGAGCCAGAGGCGCACUGCGCAUCGUCGACGCUGGCAACCCGCCUCUCGCAAAGAGCGAGCAUCAACGACCGGAGUCGAUGGCGUCGCAUCAUGCGGUCCGCCUUCGCCCAGCGACGCUGAAGGCGUCGUAGGAGGUACUGGUGUCGGCGAAGCCGAACCCUUCUCGAGCGGUUCGGCCGAAACGCUGCCUUGGUCGUCUCCAGGCGCUCUUGCGGGCGGGACAAGCCGUAGAGCAAGCGCCGCAUCGGCUACGCACAGCCAGCGGAAGCCGAAGGGCAAGGCAAAUCUGCGGCGAGGCAGCCGUAGGACGGCGGCUGUUCAUCACGCAGCCACCAAGAGCCGCACCGAUGCUGUCGUAUUUGACCCGUGCUUUCCCGAGGACACGACACCGUUCAACGCGCAGCACCGCCCCGUCACGUACAAUGCCGCCAUCGCCUUUCAAGCGCCGCUGUGAUAUGGAAGGAACGGAUCGGCGAUAUGGCCAUGUACGAGAGACAAGCGACGGGGGCCAUCUGACCACUACCCACUCCCUCCUCCCGGUCUGCUCUUCGUCUCAAGGUGCCUCUUGCGCACCCCCUUGAAACGGCGCACAAAGAAAAAGAGUCCCUUUCUAUACACUUGUUUUCACGCCUCACGCGAAACAAUAUCGAUGGAACUCGGCGCAGCAGCAGCAGCUACUCGUCUGUCUGUCUGUGUGUUUUUGUGUGCGUGCGUGCUUUCUCUUCCGAUUGAACACGGCCCUUUAGGCCUCUUUUUUUUUCUUCUCUCUCUUUCUUCGCCAGUCCUCUCUCACGGCGCCUACUUCACAUGCGUGCAGGCGUGCGCUUGCGACGAACAGUCGAGUACGUCUCGUGUUGUGAGAGAGGGAGAGUAGGCGGACGGAAUACUGGAAUGCACCAG
Molecule: unclassified non-coding RNA, 1872 nt
Filed under: Leishmania donovani
Lineage: Eukaryota; Euglenozoa; Kinetoplastea; Trypanosomatida; Trypanosomatidae
Description: gene:LdHU3.29.3110(CDS-product:hypothetical_prote in_conserved)
Source: RNAcentral